GAUAUGAAACCUAAUCAGAUUGUUUUUGAACUUAUACGCAGGUUCAAGUUCAACUUGUAUAAGACAAAGCAGACAGUGUAUUUAAGAAAAUGAUUGGAAGAACUAACUAUCACCUGUCAAAAAAGUUAGUUGUUAUAUGGUGUCUUGCUUUCAAUGAUCCGUAUGUUAGUUCCGCACCAACAGGAAAUGCUGAAGUAGAUAAACAUAAACUUGUUGAAGUGGUUCAGAAAUUUAAUCUACUGAAUCCGCCUAAAACUUACAAAGAGUCCGAAAAGAAGGCUCUUCAAUUUUUUCCGCAGAGCAAAUCUGCGGCGUUACAAUUCUUUACAUUCGACAACACAAGUGCAAUAACAUGUUUAAUAACUGCCGUGAUCGAUAUAAGAAUUGGUAUCACAGUGAAUACAAGAAGAACUGUCCCAACUAUAUUUAUGGUAGAAUUAAGAGUUGGAAAAAAUCGACCGGUGUACACACCUGCUUUGUUCCCGCCGGGUGUUGUACAGCAGGUACAGAUGAAUAGGAAAUUUAAAGUCACACCUGGGGAUAAAAUAACCGUUAAAGCUAGAGGUACACCAUUUAUUGACAGCAGACAAAUUUAUAAUUACAUGGAGAUAUCGUGGAUCGACCUUACGUAAUAGCUUGCAAAUAGUUUUUAACAUGAAACUAUAAGCCGUUCGUCACGGUUGUACCGUUACCAGAUCGUACACCAGUAACGCACACAACAGUAAGGCAUUGCUGAGAUUACUCGAUACUGGUUAAAGAAGCUCUACAACCAAUACACAUGUACAUACAGUCGUCAUACCAUUUCAUCAUAACGAUCUGUUUUAUAGACGUUUAUAAUGACUGUAGAAUGUGACAAAGAUUAGGAUACACUAGACAUGAUAAGAGGUUUGUGUGUAUAUUCACAAUUAUAGAUAAAACACAACAUCUUAUCUGAAGAUAUAUGGUAGACACAUUUUAAGUGAAAAAAUAACCAAAAUUAUAGACAGACAUUAGUGUGUGUUUAGAGACUAGUUGAAUUAAUAAAAAUGUUGCUUAAAACUGAA
Mytilus californianus (California mussel) is the source of this 1043-nucleotide long non-coding RNA. RefSeq lists it as uncharacterized. NCBI's taxonomy places the organism in Eukaryota, Metazoa, Mollusca, Bivalvia, Mytilida, Mytilidae. The transcript is spliced from 2 exons. The record is from RefSeq and is a predicted model, not a curated record.